GCUCACUUCAGCAGUACAUAUAUUAAAAUUGCAACAAUACAAAGAAGAUUAGCAUGGCAAGAAUGACAUGCAAAUUCAUGAAGCAUUCCAUAUUUUU
Molecule: small nuclear RNA, 97 nt
Filed under: Cervus hanglu yarkandensis (Yarkand deer)
Lineage: Eukaryota; Metazoa; Chordata; Mammalia; Artiodactyla; Cervidae
Source: RNAcentral